UUAAUUUAACCAUCAAGAGCCAACAAUCAAUGGCAGCCCAAUUUGGCACAUCCCUAACCGAGGGACAAUCCACAAACCGACCUUCACUUUUUAAUGGGUCAAACUAUACCUAUUGAAAAGCUCGGAUGAGAAUUUUUAUUCAAGUACUUGACUAUGAUAUAUGAAGUAUCAUGGUAAAUGGGCCUCACACACUUACUAAAUUAAUUGAUGGUGUGUCUCUCCCUA
RNAcentral lists this long non-coding RNA (225 nucleotides) under Elaeis guineensis (African oil palm). RNAcentral describes it as "long non-coding RNA (EGUI_LNC015071)". The record is from RNAcentral. Lineage: Eukaryota; Viridiplantae; Streptophyta; Magnoliopsida; Arecales; Arecaceae.